CAGGCCUAACACAUGCAAGUCGAACGGAAAGGCCCUGCUUUUGUGGGGUGCUCGAGUGGCGAACGGGUGAGUAACACGUGAGUAACCUGCCCUUGACUUUGGGAUAACUUCAGGAAACUGGGGCUAAUACCGGAUAGGAGCUCCUGCUGCAUGGUGGGGGUUGGAAAGUUUCGGCGGUUGGGGAUGGACUCGCGGCUUAUCAGCUUGUUGGUGGGGUAGUGGCUUACCAAGGCUUUGACGGGUAGCCGGCCUGAGAGGGUGACCGGCCACAUUGGGACUGAGAUACGGCCCAGACUCCUACGGGAGGCAGCAGUGGGGAAUAUUGCACAAUGGGCGGAAGCCUGAUGCAGCAACGCCGCGUGCGGGAUGACGGCCUUCGGGUUGUAAACCGCUUUCGCCUGUGACGAAGCGUGAGUGACGGUAAUGGGUAAAGAAGCACCGGCUAACUACGUGCCAGCAGCCGCGGUGAUACGUAGGGUGCGAGCGUUGUCCGGAUUUAUUGGGCGUAAAGGGCUCGUAGGUGGUUGAUCGCGUCGGAAGUGUAAUCUUGGGGCUUAACCCUGAGCGUGCUUUCGAUACGGGUUGACUUGAGGAAGGUAGGGGAGAAUGGAAUUCCUGGUGGAGCGGUGGAAUGCGCAGAUAUCAGGAGGAACACCAGUGGCGAAUGCGGUUCUCUGGGCCUUUCCUGACGCUGAGGAGCGAAAGCGUGGGGAGCGAACAGGCUUAGAUACCCUGGUAGUCCACGCUGUA
This 750-nucleotide ribosomal RNA is filed under the name uncultured bacterium. Its description in RNAcentral is "bacterial SSU rRNA". It matches the Rfam family "Bacterial small subunit ribosomal RNA", at positions 43 to 804 of the family's 1533-position model. The record is from RNAcentral.